GCCCGAGUGGUGAAAUUGGUAUACACGACGGAUUCAAAAUCCGUUUCCUUCGGGAGUGUCGGUUCAAGUCCGACCUCGGGCA
Molecule: transfer RNA, 82 nt
Organism: Photobacterium damselae subsp. damselae CIP 102761
Lineage: Bacteria; Pseudomonadati; Pseudomonadota; Gammaproteobacteria; Vibrionales; Vibrionaceae
Rfam family: tRNA
About the family: Transfer RNA (tRNA) molecules are approximately 80 nucleotides in length. Their secondary structure includes four short double-helical elements and three loops (D, anti-codon, and T loops).
Source: Rfam